UGGGGAAUUUUGGACGAAUUGGGCGAAAGCCUGAUCCAGCAAUGCCGCGUGUGUGAAGAAGGCCUUCGGGUUGUAAAGCACUUUUGUCCGGAAAGAAAUCCUUGGCUCUAAUACAGUCGGGGGAUGACGGUACCGGAAGAAUAAGCACCGGCUAACUACGUGCCAGCAGCCGCGGUAAUACGUAGGGUGCAAGCGUUAAUCGGAAUUACUGGGCGUAAAGCGUGCGCAGGCGGUUUGCUAAGACCGAUGUGAAAUCCCCGGGCUCAACCUGGGAACUGCAUUGGUGACUGGCAGGGCUAGAGUAUGGCAGAGGGGGGUAGAAUUCCACGUGUAGCAGUGAAAUGCGUAGAGAUGUGGAGGAAUACCGAUGGCGAAGGCAGCCCCCUGGGCAAUACUGACGCUCAUGCACGAAAGCGUGGGGAGCAAACAGGAUUAGAUACCCUGGUAGUCCACGCCCUAAACGAUGUCAACU
Molecule: ribosomal RNA, 472 nt
Filed under: uncultured bacterium
Lineage: Bacteria
Description: partial 16S ribosomal RNA
Rfam family: Bacterial small subunit ribosomal RNA
Source: RNAcentral